AUUGAACGCUGGCGGCGUGCUUAACACAUGCAAGUCGAGCGGUAACAGGUGUAGCAAUACAUGCUGACGAGCGGCGAACGGGUGAGUAAUGCUUCGGAAUCUUCCUCGUAGUGGGGAAUAACCUGGGGAAACUCAGGCUAAUACCGCAUACGAACUACGGAUGAAAGCAGGGGAUCGCAAGACCUUGCGCUAUGAGAUGAGCCGAAGUCGGAUUAGCUAGUUGGUGAGGUAAAGGCUGACCAAGGCGACGAUCCGUAGCUGGUCUGAGAGGACGACCAGCCACACUGGGACUGAGACACGGCCCAGACUCCUACGGGAGGCAGCAGUGGGGAAUAUUGGACAAUGGGGGCAACCCUGAUCCAGCGACGCCGCGUGUGUGAAGAAGGCCUGCGGGUUGUAAAGCACUUUUAGUGGGGAUGAAAAGCCGAAGGCUAAUACCUUUCGGUCUUGACCUAACCCAAAGAAAAAGCACCGGCUAACUCUGUGCCAGCCGCCGCGGUAA
Molecule: ribosomal RNA, 502 nt
Filed under: uncultured bacterium
Lineage: Bacteria
Description: partial 16S ribosomal RNA
Rfam family: Bacterial small subunit ribosomal RNA
Source: RNAcentral